GCGCCGGCGACACCGCAGGCAGCGCCCCCCCAGACGGCUCCCCGCUGGCCGCGGCCGCCACCGCCGCCCGGCGACAGGCCUGGCAGCGGCACCGGCCGCCCCCGCCACCCGCCACCGGCCGCGGGGCGAGUCAGGCGCGCCAGGGGCAGCCCCGAGGCGGGGCGCGGGGCCUCGCGCCGCGCACUGCAUGCUGGGGCGCGUAGUCCCCGCGGCGGCGGCGAGGCGGUUUUCCCUCCCCCGUAACUCAAAUGUGUGGGAAGCCCUGCUUAAAGCGGCGACGGAGUCCAGCCCCGGUCGUAGAGCAGUGUAGGUGCCACCUACAGUUGAUGUCUUCAUGUCAUAAAGGCAGUGUACUUUUAAAGGAAGGCGUGUGCUGAAGCAAGCGAUUCUCUGGAGAGGUGCGAGCAGGCCACUGGGGCUUAGCUACCUUUCCACGCCGGUCCGGCCUGUGCCUGAACGCCACCCAGCAGAGCCGUGGCGAGGCUGCGCUGUGGCACCACUUCAUUGCCUGCGGUGAGCACCAGGACACGCGUCUUCAGGGAAGUUCAGGCACAAGGAGACAAAGCAAUCUGGUGCCCCACGCUUCUUUUUUCUUUUAAUUCUCUGGUUAAGGUUGAGAAUGAACAUCUGCGAACUGAACAUGGACUUGCAGACUGGAGCACUUCACCCAGCCCUUUACACAUAUAUGUGCAUGUAAUCAUUUCAUAUGUUUUGCUAGGGUUAAUAUCGUAAACUUAGGAAUGAGGUUAAGAAAGGCUUAAGAAAGAUAAAUGACCUCGCUUUGAUGUUGUGAAUAACUCUCUUCCCAACCGCUCCUGAGCUUUCUCUUCAGGUACUUCCCAGCACGAUAAUUGGAAAGUGUUAUUAAGACAGCAGAACUAUUGUUUAAAAUAGUUUGGAAAGACAUAGGUCAGAGAUGUGUACUCCAUAGGGAAAAAAGCAGGCUGAAGGCGUAAAGCCAGCUGGCUUCAUGCUGUAAGCUGGUAUUUCAAGUAGGGCAGUACAUUUACAGCAAAGAGCUAAACAUGAA
Long non-coding RNA from Dromaius novaehollandiae (emu), 1030 nucleotides. RefSeq lists it as uncharacterized. The transcript has 2 exons. NCBI's taxonomy places the organism in Eukaryota, Metazoa, Chordata, Aves, Casuariiformes, Dromaiidae. The record is from RefSeq and is a predicted model, not a curated record.